Vigna unguiculata (cowpea) is the source of this 796-nucleotide long non-coding RNA. RefSeq lists it as uncharacterized. The record is from RefSeq and is a predicted model, not a curated record. NCBI's taxonomy places the organism in Eukaryota, Viridiplantae, Streptophyta, Magnoliopsida, Fabales, Fabaceae.
AUGGUCUCUUAAGUAAAGUAUCAUUGUGAUUUGAUACUUUGUUGUUAUUGGGUAUUAACUGCAGAAGGCCCAAUCUUUGUGCUUCACUUCCCGUUUUGCAAUCUGCAGCCUGAUACGAGAAAAUGCCCGCAUUUCAAUUUCUGCACUUAUCAUAUUCUUUUCUCUUUCAAGCACAGAGCAAAUCAAACGAGAAAACUAAUUCAUCGAUCUUCUUUGUUUCUCGUUUGUGAGUUCUUGGUGGAAGAAAAGGUGGGAGAUGAAGCGGAAUCAAAGAUGGUAAAAGAAUAAGAAGAAUUUGAGGCGAACAUUGCUGGGUCCGAAGAAAUGGAACUCAAUAUCUCUCUUAUUCUUGAGAAGAUUGAGAAUUAUACUCAAAGGGAUACACAAGCAUCAAGUCAGAAAAUGGCAGGAAGAAAUCAGAGAAUUGCGUGCACUUGAUGCUUCAAAUGAGGAAGCCGAUGCUCUUCUGCAUAAUGCUCGAUAUCUUCUUCAGCCCAUUCUUGAUGUCUAUAAAUUCUGUUGGAUUUGGCUGCCGGUGUGGUGAGGUGAGAAGCAAUAAAAAGAAAACAAAAGUGGAACAAGUAAUUAUGUUCUUCAGAUAAGGCUUUCUCUUAAGGUGAACUAACUUUUGAGGUAUCAUCUUAGGGGUGGAAAUCUAAAGGUGACUUGAAGCCAUGUGCAAUUUUCAUUUAUUUGAGUUGUAACUUUUACUUGUUAUGCUUAUUGUAAUCUUGGCCUAAUUAGGUGUCUUGGAGGAGCCUUUGGUGUUCAAUCCCAUCUUCUAAUUAGAACCUUA